ACAGGCUGGGGCACCAAGAUGGAGUCACAGACCCAGGCCUUCAUAUUCCUGCUCCUCUGGAUAUCUGGUGCUGAGGGGAACAUUGUGAUGACCCAGUCUCCUGAAUUCAUGUCCAUAUCUACAGGAGACAGGAUUACCAUAAGCUGCAAAUCUAGCCAGAGUGUGAAAAGUUAUGUAGCUUGGUACCAGCAAAAAUUAGGGGAGCCUCCUAAACUGCUAAUUUAUGGUGCAUCCACUCGCCCCUCUGGGGUCCCUGAUCACUUCACAGGCAGUGGAUCUGGGACAGAUUAUAUUUUCACUAUCAGCAGUGUGCAGCCUGAAGACUCUGCAGUUUAUUACUGUCAGCAGGGUUACAGAACUCCCACAGUGCUUCAGCCCCCAACACUAACUCUUUAAGAGUCUCACCUGCUGCCUGCACCACACACAGCCCUGGCCCUGCACACUUCCCCUUUCUGCCUGAGAUCUGCUAUGCAUGACUAAUUGAUUCACUGUUCAUCAGAAAAUUAAUAAAGAG
Non-coding RNA from Meriones unguiculatus (Mongolian gerbil), 514 nucleotides. Lineage: Eukaryota; Metazoa; Chordata; Mammalia; Rodentia; Muridae. The record is from the annotation of a RefSeq genome assembly.